Long non-coding RNA from Perognathus longimembris pacificus (Pacific pocket mouse), 1047 nucleotides. RefSeq lists it as uncharacterized. Lineage: Eukaryota; Metazoa; Chordata; Mammalia; Rodentia; Heteromyidae. The transcript has 3 exons. The record is from RefSeq and is a predicted model, not a curated record.
CUUCUGGCCAUUUUCUUUAUAUGUGGUGCUGGAGAAUCGAACCCAGGGCUUCAAGUAUAUGAGGCAAGUGCUCUUGCCACUAGGCCAUAUCCCCAGCCCUCUCCUGGACUUUUCUUGUUAAUUCUUAGAAGUGAGAAACCUACAUUAAUUGCACUGCCUUUCUGGCUCCUAGUUUUGCCACAUUCCCCUCUUUUUAGUUUGUAUUCUAACUAGUAAACAUGCCAAAGUAAAUAGAACCAUUUCUGGCUGUAUGCACAUGGUUUAUUUCUUGGACAACUUGUAGACAAGAGCUGCCACCCAAAUUCUAGAAUAUCUGGAGAAAUCCUCAAAUCCUCAAACUGGCAUUAAAAACCCCAGUUCUGGACAGUAACAAGCGUAUAGAAAGAGAAAAGCUGGAAAAGGCCCAGGAAUCCUGGAAAUUGCUUAUGGAGACCUGGGCCGUCCCUCUUUUUGUCUUUAAAAGAACUUUUAUUGUUUUUCAAACUUAGGAGGUGGAAUCACGAAUGACUUUGGCCAUACAGAGCGCCAUGUCCAGCUGCGCUUCCUGCGGCUACUAAUGGUUCUAUUCAUAAGCAAUCUUGAGAACUUAAAGCCAGUUGGUCCACAGAAUGUGGGAACCAUUGGGAACCAUUUUAAGUCCUGCUAAGCAGAAAGCAACCAUCUCACUGGCUAACUGGCUGUAGAUGAGAAAGGACGUAAAUUUGUGGUUUUAAGCCUUUCGUUCUUCCUUUUUGAAAUGAGGAUCUAAGUUUUCGCCAUUGCGGGAGAAAUGAAAUAGGCCAAAUGCAUUAUAGAAAGUUGAAAACCGAUGAGUUAUAUGCAAAAGGAAAAUGGUGGACGAAAUGGUUGAUGGAAGCUGGCUGAUAUUCUGCUUUCUUUUUCUUUUUUAUACAAAAUAAAAAGACUGGGCAUCCUUAAAAAUAACCAGUGCCUAAUAAUGGACUGCCUAAUGAACUAAAAGGCGUGGCCAAAAAAGGACGACCUGCAGGAAACUAAAGCCCCAGAAGACAAGGAUGUAAGUCAAACAAAGGAGCUGCUGUUGGAACU